CAAGACGAAUUUAUGAAAUUUUCUUUGAGUUCUUUUUAUGUCAAAUAUUGUUGAACUCUUUUAUCAGAUGUCAAUAAAUGAAGUGCAUAAGGCAAAAACAUCGUAGGAGCAUGCAAAGAGAUUUACCAAAUUUAAAGAAAGAAGAUGACUUAUUGAGAAAGUAUGUGGUACGUAUAUUGAAAGAAAUACUUUGUUUUCUUUAGUUGGUUAUUAAAUAAACUUGAUCUUUUUUUUCCAUUUCUAAAUAUUUUAUCUUAAUGUUUUCCUAAGGUGAGGACAGAUGGAUCACUUUCUUUCUUUGAUGGGGAAGAAAAUCAUAAUGUGAAGCUUAUUCAUAAUAUUUUUGUUGACCUACUCAUUUUAUAACUUCCAUCUUGGAUAUUGUGUCAGGUAUUUCAUUUUUCUUAUGACAAUCUUGGAUAUUAUCAGUUUACCUGUUACAUAAGUUGUAUCUAUUUUAAUCUCAUUUUGCAAUAUGUAUAUAGAUUGUUCAAUAGUCAACGAAUUAAUAUGGAUUUUAUUUAAGUUUUGUGUAUGCUGGAAAGUACACAAAUUCCAACUACAAAACUACUAGAUGUAGGCUUUUGGAACUUCAGCUGAUAAACUUAGAGAUUAUAUCUCCCUUUUGCACUAUUUUCUUGUGGUUCAUCAAAGGUAUUUUGUUCUUAGUGUUCUUUUGUUCCUCCUUUGAUUUAAAAUAUCCAUGGAUCGGAUAACAAAUUUGAUAUCAACAAAAACAAUCUUUUGAAAAAUUUGAUACCAAUAUUUUCUUGUGAAGCUUCUUCAUGAUAUUUUGUUGUUGUAGCAAUGAAAUCUUCUUAAUGGUAUUUUGUUGUGAGACGAUUUUAAUGGAACGCAUAACAAUAGGCAGUCCGGUCAAAUUUUACGUUAUUUGAAAUGAAUAGUUGGUAUGAGAUUGGCUUGUGUUUACUCAUUUAAUGCUAUGUUUAUGAAAAAUAAUGUAGGGAGUAAGAGAGGUUUUGGCGAUGUUGAAGAUGAUGAGGACGACUUCUUUAGCUCCAAAAUUUUCUAGUUUUUGUUUUGAGAACAACUGAUUUGCUAGUUUAAUCCUCACAAAUGGAUUUCUUCAUUUGAAUGAGGUGAUUUUUCACCUGGAGUUUUUCCAUGAAAGGUAAGAUUUUUUGGUUGAGGUAUUGAAAAAUUGUUUUUUAAGAGAUUUGAUCUUGCGUAAUUGUUUAUCUUUCUACCGUAUUAAAAGAGAAUGUAAAUAAACUAUAAAGGGCAUAUAAAUAGCUCUUUUUUGUUUGGUGUAUAUGGCUGAACUUAUGAAUAAGAGCAAGUUGAAAUCAUAGUUUUGAUAGAAAAUAUAUGGAUUGUUUGGUACAAAGAUGCAUUGAUCAAUGAGUUUAUAAUAUUUGUCAGAUUUUUGAAUGUUUGAGUUGAGUUGACUCAUAUUCUAUUGUUGUUUAUUUUUCUAAAAGGUAUUGCUCGAGUGCCAAACGUAUAUUUAGUGAAACUCAAUGAAAAAACC
Molecule: long non-coding RNA, 1492 nt
Filed under: Cucumis sativus (cucumber)
Lineage: Eukaryota; Viridiplantae; Streptophyta; Magnoliopsida; Cucurbitales; Cucurbitaceae
Description: long non-coding RNA (CSAT_LNC002213)
Source: RNAcentral